This is a non-coding RNA of 368 nucleotides. It matches the Rfam family "transfer-messenger RNA". From Rfam's summary of the family: Bacterial tmRNA, also known as 10Sa RNA or SsrA, is named for its dual tRNA and mRNA-like properties. Its role is to liberate the mRNA from a stalled ribosome. The record is from Rfam.
GGGGCCGACUGGAAUUGACAGCUUGUGCAUAGUAAGCGUAAGCACGUCGGGAGGUGAGUGCUACUCCUGAAAUUAAUGCUCUCACAACUAUAAUUGGCGAAAGAAAUUACGCCCUAGCUGCCUAAUUUAGAAUUAGAUAGCUUAGUGUCUCGCAAACCUUACCUUUCUGCAAGGUUUGCACCCGAGGCAUCACAAAGCAGAAAUAGUCAGCAUAGAGGCAUGAUGUGUUGGCGAAACUAAGUGUCUAAGGUAGAGUAUUGGUUCGUAGCGCACCUAUCUCUGCUCGAAAAUCCAAGCGUGAUCUAAACGUGUAGAAAGCUCUUGCUUUCCUUGUCUGGACGAGGGUUCAAAUCCCUCCGGCUCCACUA